CGGUCCCACCCUUCCGGCCAGAUAGGAAGGCAUUCGGGGCCUUGUUCACCCUUGAGGGUACGCCCAGGUCUCUCCCUCAGCUCUGCCGGGAAGCAGGCAGAGGGACGGCAGGUCCAAGGAGGUGAAGAAGGACAAAGAAAACGCUAAACAUGUUCCGCUGAUGCAGAAUCAAUACGGAAGGAGGCACAGGUCUCCGACGGGAAGAGCAUCCUGCCUGCUUCCCGUCACCUUCUGCCUUCCCAGCUCCCUUCAUCAUGCUGUGAGGCUGUGUCGCCUUCUCCCUGAUCACAGCCUGGCUGGAAACGGGCCUGCGUCCUUAGCAUCCUCAACGCAAACGCAUCCCUUCUGUCCUGCGCCCCGGGCGCCCAGUCCCUGCUUCCAGCCUUCAGCCUUUCUCGCACACACGCGGUGCUUGGUGUUCUGGGGUGGGCGCCGGGGCAAAAAGCCUUCAACCGGCUCCUGCACUUCAACAAAAACCACCUUUAAGCUGGAAGAAUGUGUCAUCAACUGAUAAUUUACUAAAUGACAGCUCAUUUCCAUUCUGCGGAAGGGAAUUGCUUCAUAUUUCAUUCUCAACGCCUGCUCGUUCGGGCAGCCUUCACCGGGCAGGAAGGGCUCCCCCGGGAAUUGCUUGAAAGGUUAGCGCCCAGGGCGAGCGUGGGCCCUGCGGCUGCGCUGCGCGGCGCCGGUCGCUCCCCUCGUUAAUGUCUCAAUGCUGCCCCCUGCUGGACCACGGCGCCCCGGCAGCGCCCGCGACCUGAGACCCGCGCUUCCACCGCGCUCCUCUGUCACGGCCGGCACCUCUGCGGGAGAGGUGACCGCUCCGGGGCUUUUGGUUUUGUGCAAAAGCCGCACAACCGAAAUUCACCGCCUUUAAGGGCGCCCGGACCUCACCGGAUGGGUGCUCCGCUGCUCGUGCCGCGGCGCGGCCGCUUCUGCCCGUUGUCAGGCUGUCGGCGCCCGGAAUGAAGAGAAGCCAUUGUCGCCAAGGGCUUUUCUCCCCGAAAGGGAUUUGCGGAUGGAAUGAAGAUGUGUGUGACCGGGGAGAGGUUUCCUGCCCGGAAAAAGCGAGACAUCACCCGAAGCUCCUUCCCCCAUUCCUGCACUUCUGUACAGUGGUGAAGACGCCAUGCUCAUUUUAAGCCCACCCACAGCCCCACUGACAGCAUACAGGAGGGAAAGAGAUCCCAGGCCAGCCACCAAACCAAACCCAGGGACCCAGUGAUUGGUGCAGGAUACACAGAUGACCCCAGUGGGUCCCAUCAGAGUUCUCAUGCUACUAGUUGGACUCAGAAGGAAAGAGAGCCUUUCUCCUCUUUGGAUCAUGAAUGGUGGGAAUGUCAACCCAAGACUUUUCAGCAAUUUCGAGAAAGGCUGUAUGAAGCAGGAGGAAGAGAAUAAAUCCAGUAUGCAAAGAAAAGACACAGAAACAAGGCUGAGCUGAAAAAUGAGAGGAAAAGAGAAAAGAUGACAAUAUUGUUUGAUCCCUGGAUUUGGCCAUGCAAAUAAGUAAGCCUUUCCCUAGACUUCAAAUUAAAUGAGUAGGAGUUUCUGGUUCUUGCAAUACAAAGAACCCUGAUUAAUACAACUUAUUGGAUUAUUUAAAUAUAUAUAUUUUUUAAAGUAGGUUCCACACCCAACAUGGGGCUUGAACUCACAACCCUGAGAUCAAGAAUGGCAUACUCUACCGACUGAGCCAGCCAGGUGCCCCAGAUGAUUUUAACAUUUCUUUAAUACCAUCAGUUCCGCCGUAUACAAAACUGAGGCAUUUUACGACUCCACCUUUGUGAAACAAUAAUGUAAGUAAUAAUUCAAGUUGCAAAAAUAGCAAAGACAUUGACCACCUAUUACAUCCAAGGUAAUGCACGUGUGCACAAAAAGACAGAAAAAGGCAAACGUGCCAUAGGGCCAGCAAGCCCGGCAGGACAGACCUCCACAAAGUUCACAGCGGGCCCCUGAGGAUAGCUUCUAGAGCUUCCAUAUCAAGGUGAUUUCCAUUUCUUUGUAUGCUUAUCUUUCACCUCCAAAUCUUCCACAGUAAACUAUAUUACAUCUGGAAUCAGAAAAAAAAAAUGUCCUUGAAAAAGACUACUCCAUUUAUCAAACCAACGGGGCUAUUUCUCAUUAAUUGUUGUUUUAAUAUUAAUUAAGACCAUUUAUAUAAUGUUGUUGAAAAUCAAACUAAAAUAUAUUAUCUGUCAUAGUAUUUCA
Long non-coding RNA from Felis catus (domestic cat), 2211 nucleotides. RefSeq lists it as uncharacterized. Lineage: Eukaryota; Metazoa; Chordata; Mammalia; Carnivora; Felidae. The record is from RefSeq and is a predicted model, not a curated record. The transcript has 2 exons.